Molecule: ribosomal RNA, 490 nt
Filed under: uncultured bacterium
Lineage: Bacteria
Description: bacterial SSU rRNA
Rfam family: Bacterial small subunit ribosomal RNA
Source: RNAcentral
GACGAACGCUGGCGGCGUGCCUAAUACAUGCAAGUCGAACGCACUCUCGUUAGAUUGAAGAAGCUUGCUUCUGAUUGAUAACAUUUGAGUGAGUGGCGGACGGGUGAGUAACACGUGGGUAACCUGCCCUAAAGUGGGGGAUAACAUUUGGAAACAGAUGCUAAUACCGCAUAAAACCUAGCACCGCAUGGUGCAAGGUUGAAAGAUGGUUUCGGCUAUCACUUUAGGAUGGACCCGCGGUGCAUUAGUUAGUUGGUGAGGUAAAGGCUCACCAAGACCGUGAUGCAUAGCCGACCUGAGAGGGUAAUCGGCCACACUGGGACUGAGACACGGCCCAGACUCCUACGGGAGGCAGCAGUAGGGAAUCUUCCACAAUGGACGAAAGUCUGAUGGAGCAACGCCGCGUGAGUGAAGAAGGUUUUCGGAUCGUAAAACUCUGUGUUGGAGAAGAACGUAUUUGAUAGUAACUGAUCAGGUAGUGACGGUAUCC